UGUAGCUCAGUGGGAGAGCACUUGCUUAGCAUGUAUGAGGCACUGGGUUCAAUCCUCAGCA
This 61-nucleotide transfer RNA is filed under the name Ictidomys tridecemlineatus (thirteen-lined ground squirrel). Its description in RNAcentral is "Spermophilus tridecemlineatus (thirteen-lined ground squirrel) tRNA". It matches the Rfam family "tRNA", at positions 6 to 65 of the family's 71-position model. Rfam says of the family: Transfer RNA (tRNA) molecules are approximately 80 nucleotides in length. Their secondary structure includes four short double-helical elements and three loops (D, anti-codon, and T loops). Lineage: Eukaryota; Metazoa; Chordata; Mammalia; Rodentia; Sciuridae. The record is from Rfam by way of RNAcentral.